CAGCCGUAAACUAUGCGCGUUAGGUGUAUCGGUGACCACGAGCUACCGAGGUGCCGAAGGGAAACCGUGAAACGUGCCGCCUGGGAAGUACGGUCGCAAGGCUGAAACUUAAAGGAAUUGGCGGGGGAGCACCACAACAGGUGGAGCCUGCGGUUUAAUUGGACUCAACGCCGGGAAGCUCACCGGAUAGGACAGCAGAAUGAUUGCCGGGCUGAAGACCCUGCAUGACUAGCUGAGAGGAGGUGCAUGGCGUAGACGUCU
RNAcentral lists this ribosomal RNA (261 nucleotides) under uncultured archaeon. Its description in RNAcentral is "partial 16S ribosomal RNA". It matches the Rfam family "Archaeal small subunit ribosomal RNA", at positions 748 to 1009 of the family's 1478-position model. The record is from RNAcentral.